RNAcentral lists this ribosomal RNA (492 nucleotides) under uncultured bacterium. RNAcentral's name for it is "partial 16S ribosomal RNA". It matches the Rfam family "Bacterial small subunit ribosomal RNA", at positions 28 to 507 of the family's 1533-position model. The record is from RNAcentral.
GAUGAACGCUGGCGGUGUGCCUAACACAUGCAAGUCGAGCGACAACACAGGGAGCUUGUUCUCUUGCCGUUAGCGGGGGACGGGCGAGUAACGCAUGGAUAGCCAUCUAAUAUGUCUGGGAUAAUUACGGAAAACCGGUGCUAAUAACAGCUAAUACAUUGUACCGGAUGGUUCAAUAGAGCUUGACGGCUUUGCCGAUUCUAUUAGACGAUGCCGCAUUAGCUAGUUGGGUUGGUAAAGGCCCACCAAGGCAACGAUCCGUAGCUGGUCUGAGAGGAUGAUCAGCCACACUGGAACUGAGACACGGUCCAGACUCCUACGGGAGGCAGCAGUGGGGAAUCUUGCGCAAUGGGCGAAAGCCUGACGGAGCAACACCGCGUGAGUGAUGAAGGUCUUCGGAUUGUAAAGCUCUGUUAUUGGGGAAGAACAGAUGUGGAAGUAACCAUGGAUGUCUUGACGGUACCUAAAGAGAAAGCAACGGCUAACUACGUG